GAUGAACGCUAGCGGGAGGCUUAACACAUGCAAGUCGAGGGGCAGCAUAGGGUAGCAAUACUCUGAUGGCGACCGGCAAACGGGUGAGUAACGCGUAUGCAACCUACCCUGUACAGGGGGAUAACCCGGAGAAAUUCGGACUAAUAUCCCGUAAUAAUAUCCGGAGGCAUCUUUGGAUAUUUAAAGUUCCGACGGUACGGGAUGGGCAUGCGUAACAUUAACUGGUUGGUAAGGUAACGGCUUACCAAGGCUAUGAUGUUUAGGGGUCCUGAGAGGGUGGUCCCCACACUGGUACUGAGACACGGACCAGACUCCUACGGGAGGCAGCAGUGAGGAAUAUUGGUCAAUGGGCGCAAGCCUGAACCAGCCAUCCCGCGUGCAGGAGACGGCCCUAUGGGUUGUAAACUGCUUUUCCAGGGAGAGAAACUUACGCACGUGUUGCGUGACUGACGGUACCCUGGGAAUAAGCAUCGGCUAACUCCGUGCCAGCAGCCGCGGUAAAACGUGCGUG
RNAcentral lists this ribosomal RNA (511 nucleotides) under uncultured bacterium. Its description in RNAcentral is "bacterial SSU rRNA". It matches the Rfam family "Bacterial small subunit ribosomal RNA", at positions 28 to 534 of the family's 1533-position model. The record is from RNAcentral.